UACAACUCUGAGAGGUGGAUCACUCGGCUCGUGUGUCGAUGAAGAGCGCAGCCAACUGUGUGAAUUAAUGUGAACUGCAUAUUGCUUUGAACAUCGACAUCUUGAACGCACAUUGCGGCCACGGGUCAACCCGUGGCCACGCCUGUCCGAGGGUCGGCAU
This 160-nucleotide ribosomal RNA is filed under the name Zoogonus rubellus. RNAcentral describes it as "5.8S ribosomal RNA". It matches the Rfam family "5.8S ribosomal RNA". From Rfam's summary of the family: 5.8S ribosomal RNA (5.8S rRNA) is a component of the large subunit of the eukaryotic ribosome. Lineage: Eukaryota; Metazoa; Platyhelminthes; Trematoda; Plagiorchiida; Zoogonidae. The record is from RNAcentral.